Molecule: ribosomal RNA, 377 nt
Filed under: uncultured bacterium
Lineage: Bacteria
Description: bacterial SSU rRNA
Rfam family: Bacterial small subunit ribosomal RNA
Source: RNAcentral
AUACGUAGGGAGCGAGCGUUGUCCGGAUUUACUGGGUGUAAAGGGUGCGUAGGCGGCUCUGCAAGUCAGGUGUGAAAACCAUCGGCUUAACUGAUGGACUGCAUUUGAAACUGUGGAGCUUGAGUGGAGUAGAGGCAGACGGAAUUCCCGGUGUAGCGGUGAAAUGCGUAGAGAUCGGGAGGAACACCAGUGGCGAAGGCGGUUUGCUGGGCUUUAACUGACGCUGAGGCACGAAAGCAUGGGUAGCAAACAGGAUUAGAUACCCUGGUAGUCCAUGCCGUAAACGAUGAUUACUAGGUGUGGGGGGGUCUGACCCCUUCCGUGCCGGAGUUAACACAAUAAGUAAUCCACCUGGGGAGUACGACCGCAAGGUUGAA